UUCUGAUUUGUUUGCAAGUUCCUGUUGAUCUGGUUCUUGUUUGUAAUGAAAAACUCCUUUUUGGAUUUUCUUUGGUCUCUUGUUUUUUGGAAUUUCCUGGUUCUUGAAUUUUAUUGAUUUUUAUUAACUAGACUUUUAAAUUUUGUAUAAUUUUGAAUGCCUUUCUUGGUUUUUAAUUGGUGUGGAAUAUCCUUUCAAAUGUAUAUGGACGUGAAUUAAUUUUCAUGUUCCUGAUGUAUUAAAAGAUUUUUCAUUUACUUUCUAUGUUUCCCCUCUGAAAUUUGUGGCAUGAACAACAACAAUAUUUUUCCAAUACUAGUACUCUAUACAUACAGCUUUGUGGAUUUGAUGUAUGGGUAUUGGGUUUUUUUGGGGUUUACACGGAGAGUGGCUUUUGGGGCUUUGUCUUUGGUUUCCAUCUUGAUAUUAGGCAUGUUUUUUCAUUGUGGGGUUUAGGAGUCUUACCAUUAUUGACAACAUAAACAUGAUCUUCAGCUUCAAUAUUUUACUAGAUUUUCUGUGAUAUAUUCUGAUGGAUUCCUCAGAUUUUUCAAUAAAAUUUUGUAGGUGAUUUUGUUGUUGGUAGUUAAUGUUUAUUUGUUCAUCACAAUAAUCAACUUAAUUUUAUUUUUGAUUUUUUCUCUGAUCUCUUACUCUCUUACAUAUUUAUUCCCAUUCUGUGCAAAAAUAAAGAGAGAUGCUUGUUGUCUACCGUCUUCAACUGAUACGGAGAUGCUGUUUUCUGUUGCAGGUUUUUUGUUUUCAAACUUCAACGGUUAAAUAAUUCAUACAAAAAAGUUGAUUUGUAUAUUGUUGUGUUUGGAACUUGAAGCUUUAAAGGUCACAAAAGGGUCUAGUGGUAUGAAUCCUUAAAAAAAUGGAAAACAAAUGUAACAAAGUGAUCAGCAAGUUAAGGGAAGAAAAUAUAAAUAUAUAGAGAAAGAGUGAGGUGGAGUCAGAUUUGUGCUUGUGGGUGUUACUGAUUUGAGAAAUAUUUUAGUGUUAAUAGCCUGUUGGUUAUGUCUCCUUGGCUAACUGGGUGCGCCCAGGCUCCGUGGGCUUUGCCGCUGACCAAGGAAACAGCCUCUUAUUUGGCUCUCUUGGCAUUGAAGAGAACCUUUUGUUUAAAAAUUGGACAAACCCCAUCUUGUGUUUCCCUUUAUCUCUUUCUCUCUCUUACUCAGACUCACUUCUUUCUUUUGCCUCGGUUGUUGUCAAAGAUUCUCAUAGUCAUACUCAUACCCCCACAAGCAUAUAUCCUCACCCCUCUUUGAGAUCCUUCUUUGAUCCCCACACUCUGGGAGUAUUCCUUUCAAUUUCUGGGACUUCUUUGAUUGGGGUUGUUUUUAUUUAUGUUCACUUAUUGGGAUGUGUGGUGGUGACUCUGAUGUAUCUGAUUUAGGCAUUUAGUACUACAAGUUGAGCGUUGAAGAAGGUUAGUUUUAGAGGUAUAAGAGGGGCUGUAGCAAGUUGAUCUUUUUUUGCUUAUAAAGAUGAAGUUUAUGAAACUUGGAUCAAAGCCAGAUUCCUUUCAGACUGAUGGGAACAAUGUCAGGUUAAUGUGCAAGGAGCUUCACUACUAAUGUUAUUGCCAUUUAUCUCACACAACCACUAAGCCCCAAGUACACCUAACCUAGAACCCUCUCUAUCCCAAGUAGACCUUAUAUAACCAGGUUGUUGCAACAGGAAGUAGAGUAGUACCUUUUAAUCUAGUCAUGCUAUAAUUGUUGAACCAAUGUUAUUGUCUUGUUUACUAAAUAGGUAUCUGACAAGCAACUUGCUCACUGGGAUUAUUCUAGGGUGGAUCAAGGACAAAGAUAGUUGCUAGUAUGGGUUUUCAUCCUAAAUUCUAGAAGAAUAUAUCAUAAUCUGGGUGUGUAUAUAUAUAUAUGUAUAUAUAUUUAACAUGAUGUUAUAAAUAUUACUCUGGAGUCUGGACGGUGAUUCAUCUCAUGAUUUCUUUAGGGGUUAGUUGCACAUCUCUCUCUCUCUCUCUCUCUUUGGAUGAUUAAUUGGCUUGUGCUAUGGAUAAAUAACAAAUUUUACUGGCAGCUUUUAUUUUCAUCUUGUUGCCUGUGGCUCUAGUAAAAAUUAGUUGCCGGAAAAAUUACUUUCCAAGUUAUGUUGGUUGUCUGAUAUUUGGGAAGAUCAUUCUGACGGAUAAAUUUCGAGCUGGCUACAGAAGCUCAGUGGAAUGAGCUGAAUUGAUCUUGCGUUAACAUUGACAAGCCAGAUUUGUAUUUAAAGGAAUAGUGCAAUAUGGAAGAUAGCUUGGAAUGCUGAUUUAGACUACAUGUUUCAUGUUUUCAAUAAAACUACACUAAGGACGAUAUCAAUUAGCCAAAAUCCUUCAUUUUGAAGCUAAUUUAGUGAAGAAAGCCUAGAUCGAAGGCAUUGAAUGACAGUUAAAUUAGUUAAAAUAUCAAAAGGCCUUAUUUCAAGGUUGUUUAUGGAUUAUUGAAAUGAUUUAUUUUAACAAUUUUCUGUACAUAUCAAAUUUUUUCUAUUGAAUUUUUUAUGUUAAAGUACUCUUAAAAGGUACCUUUUUGUUCUUGUUUAGAGUUAUGUUGAGUUAUGAUAAUUAUGUUUUUUGUGCAGCCAAAUAGAUCUUUCUUACAAUAAUUUGUUAUAGAGCUCUGCACCACCUUGUCGAGACUCUUUAUUUCAGUCCCCCUGUUGAUGGCAAGAUUGUGGUUGGAGCUGUAGUUUCGGUGCUACUCCUCAUUUUUAUGAUUUUAGGCAUUCUUUGGUGGAAGAGCUGUAUAGGAGGGAGGAUAUCAAGGGAAAAAGGUCCUGUAGGUGGCCGAUUAAAAUUGGAUUGGCCUGCAAGGCAGAAAAUAUGUGCUAGCAUAGCAAGAGGUCUGGCUUUCUUACAUUAGGAAUCAAUACCGAAAAUUGUUCAUAGAGGCAUCAAAUCUGCUAAUAUAUUACUUGAUGGUGACCUUAAUCCUAAGAUCUCUAACUUUGGUUUGGCCAAGCUUUAUGAAGAGGAGAAUACCCGCAUCAGCACCAUAAUUCCUGGAACCAUAUAUUGAUCUUAUGGUCUCUAGUGUGUGCUGCUGCGCAGAAUAUGGUAGUACUUAUUUCAAUGAAGUCCUUGCACAAAGACAAGUAUGUAAAGAAUGAGGUAAGUAUGGGCCAUGGUACAUUUGACAAUUUAAUUUGUAUGUGUUUGGUAUCUACGUGUGAUACAUAACCAUGCUUAUAGAAAGUCUUUGCAGCAUGGUUUCACAUCAGAUAGGGUUCAUGCUUCUUUAUCUAUAAGACAAAGUGACACCCUUUAAUUUAUAGUGUUGAAGAUUUUCUAUACCACUUUACUCAUCUACAUAAAUAUAUAAACCGAAGCUUUAGAAACUUUUACAAUUUUCCAUGUCAGCACAAUAUUUAAAUAAAAUCUAUAUAUAUAAAUAUAAAACCGA
Molecule: long non-coding RNA, 3419 nt
Organism: Quercus robur (English oak)
Lineage: Eukaryota; Viridiplantae; Streptophyta; Magnoliopsida; Fagales; Fagaceae
Exons: 5
Source: RefSeq, a predicted model, not a curated record